GAUGACCAGGAGACGUAUAAACAAUUGUUUGGAUGUGAGUUGGGCACGUUACCGUUCACGUAUUUAGGUAUACCCAUCCAUCAUCGUAAGCUGACUAGCAAAGAGUGGAAAUGCAUCGAGGAUCGUUUCGAGAAGAAACUGAGCUGUUGGAAAGGGAAGCUCAUGUCAUAUGGAGGGCGAUUAAUUUUGAUUAAUUCGGUCCUCACCAGUAUGCCUAUGUUUCUUCUAUCCUUUUUCGAAGUCCCGGUGAGUGUUAGGAAGAGGCUAGACUUCUAUCGAUCUCGAUUCUUUUGGCAGAGUGAUGAGCUUAAACGAAAGUAUAGGCUUGCUAAAUGGGAUAUAAUCUGUAGGCCGAAG
RNAcentral lists this ribosomal RNA (357 nucleotides) under Triticum aestivum (bread wheat). RNAcentral describes it as "partial small subunit ribosomal RNA". Lineage: Eukaryota; Viridiplantae; Streptophyta; Magnoliopsida; Poales; Poaceae. The record is from RNAcentral.